ACUCCUACGGGAGGCAGCAGUGGGAAUAUUGGACAAUGGGGAACCGUAGCAUCCAGCAAUGCCGCAGUGUGUGAAGAAGGCCUGAGGGUUGUAAAGCACUUUCAGUGGGGAGGAACGGUUACUGUUUAAGAGAUAGUAGCUUUGACGUUACCCACAGAAGCAGCACCGGCUAACUCCGUGCCAGCAGCCGCGGUAAUACGGAGGGUGCAAGCGUUAAUCGGAAUUACUGGGCGUAAAGGGCGCGUAGGUUGUUUAGUAAGUUGGCUGUGAAAGCCC
RNAcentral lists this ribosomal RNA (276 nucleotides) under uncultured bacterium. RNAcentral's name for it is "partial 16S ribosomal RNA". It matches the Rfam family "Bacterial small subunit ribosomal RNA", at positions 335 to 603 of the family's 1533-position model. The record is from RNAcentral.